Molecule: ribosomal RNA, 497 nt
Filed under: uncultured bacterium
Lineage: Bacteria
Description: partial 16S ribosomal RNA
Rfam family: Bacterial small subunit ribosomal RNA
Source: RNAcentral
GAUGAACGCUGGCGGCGUGCCUAAUACAUGCAAGUCGAGCGAACAGACGAGGAGCUUGCUCCUCUGACGUUAGCGGCGGACGGGUGAGUAACACGUGGAUAACCUACCUAUAAGACUGGGAUAACUUCGGGAAACCGGAGCUAAUACCGGAUAAUAUAUUGAACCGCAUGGUUCAAUAGUGAAAGACGGUUUUGCUGUCACUUAUUGAUGGAUCCGCGCCGCAUUAGCUAGUUGGUAAGGUAACGGCUUACCAAGGCGACGAUGCGUAGCCGACCUGAGAGGGUGAUCGGCCACACUGGAACUGAGACACGGUCCAGACUCCUAAGGGAGGCAGCAGUAGGGAAUCUUCCGCAAUGGGCGAAAGCCUGACGGAGCAACGCCGCGUGAGUGAUGAAGGUCUUCGGAUCGUAAAACUCUGUUAUUAGGGAAGAACAAAUGUGUAAGUAACUAUGCACGUCUUGACGGUACCUAAUCAGAAAGCCACGGCUAACUACGUG